AUUCCGUGACGCACACUAACGCAUUAAGUUCCCCGCCUGGGGAGUACGGCCGCAAGGCUAAAACUCAAAGGAAUUGACGGGGACCCGCACAAGCGGCGGAGCAUGCGGAUUAAUUCGAUGCAACGCGAAGAACCUUACCAAGGCUUGACAUAUAGAGGAAACGUCUGGAAACAGUCGCCCCGCAAGGUCUCUAUACAGGUGGUGCAUGGUUGUCGUCAGCUCGUGUCGUGAGAUGUUGGGUUAAGUCCCGCAACGAGCGCAACCCUCGUUCUAUGUUGCCAGCACGUAAUGGUGGGAACCCAUGGGAUACUGCCGGAGUCAACUCGGAGGAAGGUGGGGAUGACGUCAAAUCAUCAUGCCCCAUAUGUCUUGGGCUUCACGCAUGCUACAAUGGCCGGUACAAAGGGCUGCAAUACCGUAAGGUGGAGCGAAUCCCAAAAAGCCGGUCCCAGUUCGGAUUGAGGUCUGCAACUCGACCUCAUGAAGUCGGAGUCGCUAGUAAUCGCAGAUCAGCAACGCUGCGGUGAAUACGUUCCCGGGUCUUGUACACACCGCCCGUCAAGUCAUGAAAGUCGGUAACACC
RNAcentral lists this ribosomal RNA (583 nucleotides) under uncultured bacterium. Its description in RNAcentral is "bacterial SSU rRNA". It matches the Rfam family "Bacterial small subunit ribosomal RNA", at positions 838 to 1421 of the family's 1533-position model. The record is from RNAcentral.